UCCAGACUCCUACGGGAGGCAGCAGUGAGGAAUAUUGGUCAAUGGGCGCGAGCCUGAACCAGCCAAGUCGCGUGAGGGAAGACGGUCCUAUGGAUUGUAAACCUCUUUUGUCGGGGAGCAAAAGACGCCACGUGUGGCGUUCCGAGAGUACCCGAAGAAAAAGCAUCGGCUAACUCCGUGCCAGCAGCCGCGGUAAUACGGAGGAUGCGAGCGUUAUCCGGAUUUAUUGGGUUUAAAGGGUGCGCAGGCGGCCUGUUAAGUCAGCGGUCAAAUCGUGGGGCUCAACCCCAUCCAGCCGUUGAAACUGGGGAUCUAGAGUGUGCGAGAGGUAUGCGGAAUGCGUGGUGUAGCGGUGAAAUGCAUAGAUAUCACGCAGAACCCCGAUUGCGAAGGCAGCAUACCGGUGCACAACUGACGCUCAGGCACGAAAGCGUGGGUAUCGAACAGGAUUAGAUACCCGAGUAG
Molecule: ribosomal RNA, 465 nt
Filed under: uncultured bacterium
Lineage: Bacteria
Description: bacterial SSU rRNA
Rfam family: Bacterial small subunit ribosomal RNA
Source: RNAcentral